AUUGAACGCUGGCGGCAGGCCUAACACAUGCAAGUCGAACGGUAACAGGAAGAAGCUUGCUUCUUUGCUGACGAGUGGCGGACGGGUGAGUAAUGUCUGGGAAACUGCCUGAUGGAGGGGGAUAACUACUGGAAACGGUAGCUAAUACCGCAUAACGUCGCAAGACCAAAGAGGGGGACCUUCGGGCCUCUUGCCAUCGGAUGUGCCCAGAUGGGAUUAGCUAGUAGGUGGGGUAACGGCUCACCUAGGCGACGAUCACUAGCUGGUCUGAGAGGAUGACCAGCCACACUGGAACUGAGACACGGUCCAGACUCCUACGGGAGGCAGCAGUGGGGAAUAUUGCACAAUGGGCGCAAGCCUGAUGCAGCCAUGCCGCGUGUAUGAAGAAGGCCUUCGGGUUGUAAAGUACUUUCAGCGGGGAGGAAGGGAGUAAAGUUAAUACCUUUGCUCAUUGACGUUACCCGCAGAAGAAGCACCGGCUAACUCCGUG
RNAcentral lists this ribosomal RNA (490 nucleotides) under uncultured bacterium. RNAcentral describes it as "partial 16S ribosomal RNA". It matches the Rfam family "Bacterial small subunit ribosomal RNA", at positions 30 to 507 of the family's 1533-position model. The record is from RNAcentral.